CUCUCGUUAUCUUCUCUGAUUAUUAGGGUUCCACAAAUCUGAUUUCAGAGAACUUAUCAAGUCUCAAAUCAUUAAUCUCUUCGAGAUCAAGGUCGAACGAUUUACUGAUUUCAGAGAUCUCAAAUCCCAAAUCAAGCCCUAAUCUCAAAUCCGAGAACUGACAUAGCAGCGCUGCUCUCCACCAUGAUUCGGUCUAUCAAUGGAAGUAAACUCGUUCCACCAUGAUUUGAUCUCAGUUGUUGCAUUAUAUUCUUGGAUGUAUAACCGUCUUCUUCGAUUUAUACUUAUUUUCUUUCUUCCAUCUCACUGUGAACCAUUUUCUUCUUUAGUCUUUUACCGUAAAUUCUCAUUGCUUUUGUCUUUUUUUUUUCUGUGCAGGUGGAGAUUAAUAGGUUGAGUGAAGAUCUAAUUCGGUUGAAGGAUCAAGUGUGGAUAAGUAUUGGGUUUUGUUUGAGAUUCGGAGUACAAAUGUAGGUGUUAAUUCAGUUGCAGAAAGGGGUUUGUUGAUUUGAUUGUUGUUGUUAAAAUUUUGCUUGAAGAAAUGAAAUGGAACUUGGGUAUGAUUCAGAUUUGAUAAUAUUGGGUUUCGAAUAGUUGUGGUUACUGUGAAUCUGAAUUUUAGAUUAAGAGAACAUGGAGGUUUAAAUAAAAACUGUUGACGUCAGAAGAUAUUGAUACUAAUUGUAAUUUUGUUGUUGUUUAACUGUUUCUACUAUUCCAGGUUUCCAUCACUAAACCUUGAAAUUGUAAGAGCUCUGGCCAGGGGUGGGAAGUUAUUCAGUCUAGUCUUUGUAAUUUUGUACAGCGAUCUGCCUUUAUUUUGUUUCUAAAUCUUACAACUUUAGAACAUAGACAGUACUAAGUGUUAUGCUCCACUUGAUCAUGUCUUACAAGAGCUUUUUCUUUCUUUUCGUUGCGUUCUUACAGAAGGAGUCCCAUCUGUUGGAAUGUCUCCAUUUGCUUCUGGAUGAACUACAUGCAAAGGAAAUGUAACAAACUCCAAAUAAAAUUAUGUAUUAUCCGGUGUGUCUCUGCCAUCCCUUCGUGUUUUACAGGAACUUUUGUUCCUGAUAACAGAUAUCAGCUGCUGAUACAUCUCAGGUUGCCAAGUCAAUUGACUCUGGUUUUUUCCCUGUUUUGCAUGGAGAUGUGGUGUAUGAUGAAGACUUACAGGAUAUGUUUCUCUAAGUAAAGUUUCUUAUGAUAUUUUGAAAUUCAGUGUCUAGUGGUUUACUAACACUGAAAUCACUAAAUUUAUCAGGACUGCACUAUACUUAGUGGUGCUGAGGCUCUGAAGCCUGAAUAUGUUGUUUUCUUCGUAUCCUUUUGACCUUUGAGUUAUUUCCUUUCUAUGUCUUAUAUUUUAUACACAUGUGAUGUCAAACUAUUGAGAGAUGUUUGAAUUUAGUGUUUGCACAGUAUUCCUAUCUUUGUUGCCACAUGUUCGUAGCAUAUGUUCAACUUCAAAAAUAGUAUGUAUCUAUGUUUUAUGAUUUUAUCCAAGUCUUCUACAUGAUUUUCCUAAAGACUGCACACAAUUAUGUGCCUGUGGUUGAGAGUACAAAGAAGAAUGAAAGAUGAUGAUGUUGAUGGGAUUAAAAUGCUAGUAUCUGAAUUGAGGGGUUGAAGAUUAAUCGCAACGGAUUUUGUGGAAUGAGGACCAAGAAGUGUUCAUUUUCUUGUACGUAGUUCGAUGGAUACAUCGACUUGGAUGCAUACGAUACACUGGCAAUGAAGCUUAAAGGAGAAGGGAGAUGUUAUAUAUCUGCCAUAUCAAUGAGAAUUGGGUAAACCAUCCAGGGCAACCAUAAAUCAAUCAUGUAACGGAUAUAAGCGACAAUCAUGUAUUUCAGAAAAUGCUUUCAAUAUCUUAGCGUUGAUGACAACCAGAUGCUCUGGAAGCAGCAAAAGAUGCAGGAGGACAUGUUGAUUGUUUUCUAUCUUCAAAUGUUUCUGCAAAACAGACGCAGAGAUUUGCAUACAAUGAUUGUUGGGUAAGUUGCUAAGUUUGCGACUUAUGCAUUUGGCCCAACUAUUGUGGUCACUCCUCUUGGUGCACUCAGCAUUAUUAUCAACCACGAAACAAGUUCAUUCCCCGAGUUGUGUGUACUCUUUCGGUUUUUGAGCUAAGUUUCAUCUUCUCUUGCAGUGCUGCACUUGCAAAACAUAGAAGUCUCUCAAGGAAAAGAAGUCCUUUUUAUUUGUAGUUUUAUCUUUUUGUUCAGCAAUUUUUGUCUUUUUGAUUUUGUUGUAAAGUUCAUUGCUUAGGUAGUUUUGGUUUUAAAACAGGGGUAACUUAAUUUUGUUGGAUUAAUUUGAUUUUCAAAUGAAUAGGGGUAACCUGAUUUUGUUACAAGAAAUUAGAA
Long non-coding RNA from Papaver somniferum (opium poppy), 2366 nucleotides. RefSeq lists it as uncharacterized. The record is from RefSeq and is a predicted model, not a curated record. Lineage: Eukaryota; Viridiplantae; Streptophyta; Magnoliopsida; Ranunculales; Papaveraceae. The transcript has 6 exons.